CCUCUUCUAUAUAUAGGAAUCAUGAAUCAUUGUAAUAAAUACAACAUAUAACAAUCAAUAAUACAAUCAAUAUCUAUACAAUUCUCUAUUUCUCUUUAUACAUUAAAAUUUCUACAGUAACCAACUUGGACAUAGUCAUAGGAAGAUUGUCCAAUUGCAAAGUCGCUUUGGUAUUGAUGUCGAGAACUUGAAAUGCCCUUCUUUUGUUGCUUCUCAACCAACAAAGGUGGCACUUGACUAGAAAGCAAAAAGUGCUCCCUGAGUUUCUUUCUCAUCUUCCUCCACUCUGUUACCUUUUCUUGGCCUACCAACUUGUAAUUGUUUCCACCAAUCGGAGGCAUGACCUUUGAGGGUUUGAGAGACCAAUUUCACCUUUCUUGCUUCCGGCACAUCAUAACACAACAAAUGACUCUCGAUUGUAUUCAACCAUUCCUCAAACCAUCUUGAAUGUACUUCUAUGGAAUUCGGAAAACACUAAAUCCUUGACGGAGUCAUUCCACUUAAAAUCAAACUCGUGUGAAUAUGCUCUACAACCGAAGGUAUCAUCAAAUUAAUGAUCCUUGGAACCAUUACUUCCUUUGGAAAGAAGGUUCAAGCGUUGCACUUUUCCAACCAGGGUAGCUAUUUGUGAACUCAACUUUUCAAUCUCAUUCCGUUGAUUUUGGUUUCCAAUGUUCCUUUCAAUUGAGGGAUUCGUCUCGAUUUCUUCACCCAAAUUCAGAGCAUAAGCCCUACCACGGCCACCCUUACAACCUCUACCUCUUUGAGCCAUUGACACAAAACAGCUCAAUUUUCAAAAUCACAACAAUACUAGAUCAGUGAGCAUUUCUCAACAGUCCCAGCUUAAUCAACCAAUUUCAUAGACUCCAGUGAAGCCACACACAUUAUUGCAACGUUCCAAGCCAAAGAAAAAUGGACCAGGAACAAAGAUUGAGUUCCAGCCAAGAAUCAAGAAUGCAGAAAUUCAAGAAUCAAGAAUCAAACAAUCAAGAUUCAAUAUCAACUGAUAUGAAUAGACUUGAUUCACAGAAAUUGGUCAAAAACAGUUGCAAACAAGGUUGUUAAAAUCGCGAUCCGGAUUGUAGGAUCGUACGAUCCUACGAUCCAUUUUUAGAGAAUCGAUCCAAAUCGCAUGCUGAAUCGUAUUUUGCUCAGGAUCGGAACAGGAUCGUUAGGAUCGUUAAUGGGAUACGAUCCUACUUUUGUCUCUUUUCUGAUGCUUUUAUUACAGGUUUGAUGCACCUUCUCUCUCUUCUAAACACUUACGACAUAAGAUUAGGGCAAAAUAUUGGGGGAAAAUUGCUGAGCAGCCUCCAUCCAGCCUCCAUCCAGAUUCCAGCUCCAGAUAGCACCAAGGAAAAGUGCGCAGAAACAUACCAGUGUACCACCAAGGAAAAGUGCAGCUUCAUUUUAUACAGGUUUGUCAAUUGAGUUAAAAAUGUCUGCCUCUGGUUCUGGAAGAGGGAGGAAGAGGAAAAAUGUUGCGGGUAACCGAACGGAUCCUGGUUGGGAACAUGGAAUUGAAAUAGAUGCUGCAACCAAAAAGGUACAAUACAAGUAUUGUAAUGUGACUCGAUCGGGAGGUAUAUAUAGAUUAAAACAUCAUUUAGCUUGUACUCAUCAAAAUGUUGAGCCAUGUCCUCAAGUCCCAGAAGAUAUUAGAGGAAAGUUUAUGAGUCUUUUAAGAACUCAAACAUUAGAGUCUCAAAAUAAAAAGAGAAAGAUGUUUGAUGUUGGUGAUGAUUCUGAAGAGGAGGUGGAACUAUUAGCAUAUCAUCAUCAAAACAAACAAAAACGGGUGGGUGCCAUAGAUAAAUUUGUGAUGAAGAAAUCUGGACGUCAAAAUCAA
Non-coding RNA from Camellia sinensis, 1849 nucleotides. The record is from RefSeq and is a predicted model, not a curated record. NCBI's taxonomy places the organism in Eukaryota, Viridiplantae, Streptophyta, Magnoliopsida, Ericales, Theaceae.